UGGGGAAUCUUGCGCAAUGGGCGAAAGCCUGACGCAGCGACGCCGCGUGAGUGAUGAAGGCCUUCGGGUUGUAAAGCUCUGUGGAGGGGGACGAAUAAGCCAUGGCUAACAUCCACGAUGAUGACGGUACCUCUUUAGCAAGCACCGGCUAACUCUGUGCCAGCAGCCGCGGUAAGACAGAGGGUGCAAACGUUGUUCGGAAUUACUGGGCGUAAAGCGCGUGUAGGCAGUUUCGCAAGUCGGGUGUGAAAGCCCUGGGCUCAACCUAGGAAGUGCACUCGAAACUGCGAGACUGGAGUCCUGGAGAGGAAGGCGGAAUUCUCGGUGUAGAGGUGAAAUUCGUAGAUAUCGAGAGGAACACCGGUGGCGAAGGCGGCCUUCUGGACAGUGACUGACGCUGAGACGCGAAAGCGUGGGGAGCAAACAGGAUUAGAUACCCCGGUAGUCC
Molecule: ribosomal RNA, 448 nt
Filed under: uncultured bacterium
Lineage: Bacteria
Description: bacterial SSU rRNA
Rfam family: Bacterial small subunit ribosomal RNA
Source: RNAcentral